UUUAAUGACUAGGCCAUCAGGGCUGGCUCUUCCCUUUUCGAAGAUGCUCUGUGCCUCCACCUCUUUUUCUGGGCGGGCCUGUGAAGGUCUCAUUUUUCUCCAUGGGGCUGUAAACGAUGGUGGUUGGUGGUUGUGUGCGUUUUAAUCAGAGGUAGUUUAAUCCUCUUUUUUCCGAGGGUAAAUGAAGAUUAGGAAUAAGGAAAGAGCCUAGAGCUAGGUGGGGGACCCAGUGUUUACAACUGGUGGGGGGGGGGGGGAGGCUCGCGGGGUGGGGCUGGGCGGGGUCUCUUCCUUUUAGAUUUCUUAGAUUGUGAACUCCUGACCUUGGAGAGCCCGCAGCUUUAGCUAGGUCGCUGGGCACGGUACGCGGUGGGCUUGCGGACUGCGAGGGAGCGGAAACAGAGGGGGACAGCGGGGCCGGGACUGGGCGGGGUCGCUGCCGAGGAAAGUGUGCGCUGGGUUGGACCCGGAUCGCCGCCGCCCCCACCGGAAACCCCAAGUCCCAAAGUCUAGUCCUCGGCACGCGGCGGGAGAACGGAGCAUUGCGCCCCUAAUCUUGGAGGAGCUUCCAACCCCUGGUCUCCUGCGGGGAACCUGGAUCAGUCAAGGGUUUGGCUGGGUGUGCCGACCACUCCAGCCCCUUUGGGGCCUCGGCGCCAAGGAGGUGCUCCUAGCAAGUGUUGAGAAAGUCGGGAUCCCAGAAAUGAAAUUUCAGGGCAGACGGGCGUCGAGCAAUGUGCUCCCCGUCAAGGGGACCAUUUCUGAGCAUGUAAGCCGCUUUCAGCACAUAGCCUGCUGUGCUGUGCUACGGUGAGCAAAACUGUCUUCGUUCCUGCCCGGGAAGCUUUAAGGCUGGAAUGCGGGAGCCGGGCGCGCAGUGAGAAAAGGUGAGCGCCGUGGCCGAGGCCAGCACCACCAGGGGCCGCGAUCUAGUCAGCAGGACUGGACGGUGGCUAGAAAGGGUCCUUGAAGGACUGAGCAGAGACCCAAAGGCCGCGUGACAGAGGUGAAUGCUCGAGGGCCAUUUUGGUAGGCUGGAGGGCAGAAAACUGUGGGCUGGAGCAUAGGGAUAGGGACCGCCAGGGCGGAUCCCACGAGCCCUUGUAGGUGUGUUGGGGAUUUUGGUCGUUCUCAGAAUUGCAGUGGGAAACCACUGAAGGUUUUGAGUUAGAGAUUGGAUGGAUUCGGAGGACUGGAAGAUGGCGACAUAUUGCCUGAGAGAUUUACAUUCUUGAAGGGCGGGACCGGCCCAGGAGCAGAUAGGCGUGCCCAGCCCCCUCCUCCAAGCCAAA
This 1292-nucleotide long non-coding RNA is filed under the name Equus asinus (donkey). RNAcentral's name for it is "lncRNA (ENSEASG00005034027.1)". Lineage: Eukaryota; Metazoa; Chordata; Mammalia; Perissodactyla; Equidae. The record is from RNAcentral.